Long non-coding RNA from Dermacentor albipictus, 760 nucleotides. RefSeq lists it as uncharacterized. NCBI's taxonomy places the organism in Eukaryota, Metazoa, Arthropoda, Arachnida, Ixodida, Ixodidae. The record is from RefSeq and is a predicted model, not a curated record.
UUGACAUGCGAUCGCGCGUCGACAUCGGAUGGCACACUCGUGCCUUAUGUGCCACCGAAGCCCCGAAGUGCUCUGGCAUAUACCUCCACAUGUUUCCCUUCAGUAGGAAAUUGCUGCAGGCGGACCAGCGCACUGGAAUUGUACUGGCGAAGCCACAAGCAACUCAAAGAAUCUGUUUAAUUGUUGCACUUUGAACAGUCAUGCUUCUACAAAGGCCACAGCAGAAAAACAGCCUGAUGCCGAGUAUUUCUGUGCCACGAAGUAAUCAAGAGGCGAGUGCCUAAUGCGGACGAAAUCGAGCUCUUUCAUCGAGACUUAGAACGACAGAAAGCUGAGCUAGUUGACAAUGCCUACGCCUAGCCACAGCAGCUCCCUCAUACAGACUCCGCAAGCCAAGAGGCCGUGGAGGCAAAGGCAGGCAGCCAGCACACCCCGAACAGCCACCUUGACUGCGGGUGUGUCACCCUAGUCACCAAGGAAACAUUUGAGGGAAAGCAACAGGCAAUGUGAACAGCCACUUCUCCAUCUAAACAAUACUCUUUCUCUCGGAUGACUCCUACGCCUCGCCAUGCCAGCACACUUGUGCACAAAGAUGCCGCGGAGGCACGUGCAGGUCAGAGGCAAGAAGCAGUGACACUGGUUUCGACAUUCACCCAAUUUUUUUUACUUACACUGAGGCAGCCAGCACACCUCGAACAGCCACCUUGACUGCAGGUGUGUCAGUAGAUUCCUGUCGUACAUAUGCUCAUAAUAAACUUGA